CACGUAGGCACCAAGCGUUGUCCGGAUUUAUUGGGCGUAAAGAGCUCGUAGGCGGUUCAGUAAGUCGGGUGUGAAACUUUGGGCUUAACCCAAAGCGUGCAUCUGAUACUGCUGUGACUUGAGUUCGGUAGGGGAGUGGGAAUUCCGUCAGUGUAGCGGUGAAAUGCGCAGAUAUUAGGAGGAACAGCCGGUGGCGAAGGCGCCACUCUGGGCCGAAACUGACGCUGAGGAGCGAAGCAUGGUAGCAAACAGG
Molecule: ribosomal RNA, 253 nt
Filed under: uncultured bacterium
Lineage: Bacteria
Description: partial 16S ribosomal RNA
Rfam family: Bacterial small subunit ribosomal RNA
Source: RNAcentral